GGGACGCGCUGCGGGUCGCGUCACGCCGCACGCGCCCUCAACUGAUCGCGCGUGGGUUCUUAGGGAGCCCGACGUCCGGGCUCCCGCUGGGUGGGGCUUCCUGGGCGGAGGCAGUCCCUUCUGGGCGGCCCAGGAUCCCGGCCCAGUUGACCUGCUUAGCUGCAGUCUCCCGCCCUCAAUCCGAAAGGGCGGACGUGGGGCGGGGGGAGGGUGUCUGGAGGAAGCGCGCGCGGGACUAGGCCGUGGGGCUGAGGCGGUUCUUGGGCGGAGCCCCGCCCUAGUCUCCGCCCUUGACGGGCCGGACCCGCCCUCCGAGAGCCGCACGGCAGCCCGCCACGGGUAAGGCCGGGCGGGUCCCCUCUCACUCCCAAGUCCUCGGAAACAAUCCUUACCCCGCGAGCCAAGACAGGCAGGGCUGUCCUGGGGAUCUCUUUGCCCUACAAGAGGGCUUCCUAAUACUGGGUGUGAGAGAAGAGGGCUUUCUCCUGGUGUGCCCAGGCCACUUCGGCCGGGAGAGGCCAGCGGAAGGCCAGACUUAAUGCUUUUACACGAACGAUCGUACCAGUCUUUUGCCAAAAGGAUGUUCUCUAUUUGGCGCAGUGUAAUUGUGUAUUUGAAAAUGGCUUGCAGGAUCUUACAGGAUCGAACCCAGACCCACAGGAGUGAAAGCGCUGAGUCUUAACCACUGGACUGCCAGGAAAUUCCCUUGUUUGACUUAAAUCAGGGUGAAAUUCAUGAAAGAAUAUAAGGAAACUGGGAGGUUUGACCCUGGAUAGGAACAGGAUGCUUCCACUGUGGAAAUUAGAGUAACAAGGGUGAAGAUGGAUGCAGAUGCAGGGGAGAGAAAUGGGUCCAGUGCCUUAUAAAGAAGCUUCAUAGAAAUCCCAGCCCCUGCCACCACAUGAGGACACAGCCAGAAGGCACCAGCUGUGAACCAAGAAAAGGGCCUUCACCAGAAUGUGACCAUGUUGGUGCUUUGACCUCAGAUUUUCCAGCCUCCAGAACUGUGAACAGUAAACAUCUGCUGUUUAUAAGCGCCCAGUUGGUGGUAUUUUGUUAUAGCAGCCUGAACAGACUAAGACAACUACUGUAUUUACACUGUAUCAACUAUCAUUACAACUAUACGACCUCUGAGGAAUCAAUUAGAAACCAGAAUGAGGUCCAGGUGGCCUUGCAGCCUGCUCUCUGCUCUCUGAAGACAAAGAUCCCAUGUGCUGCUCGGACAUGGCUGAGAAAAUGCUGAGAAUCACUAGGAAGGAACAAAAGGAAAUGUUUUCUUCUUGCAGGAAACGGUGAUGUGUCCUACUUUGCGCAUGAAGUUGGCUCUAAAGAUCAAGGGACAGAAAGCCAGUCCAAAAGGAUAGUCUGUUUCAGGCCGGACAGAAACAGGCUGAGAAGAGGAAUAUGGUGAGAGCCUGCGGAACAGUUGGGAUGAUAAAAAUAAGGACAAGUUUGUUGCCUAUAGUACUAUCCCAGACUAUGUCACCCAGAGAGAACUGUAGUGAUUUAAAACCGCCCAGUGAUUUAAGAUGGAGAAGGCAAUGGCACCCCACUCCAGUACUCUUGCCUGGAAAAUCCCAUGGACAGAGGAGCCUGGUGGGCUACAGUCCAUGGGGUCGCUAAGAGUUGGACACGACUGAGCGACUUCACUUUCACUUUUCACUUUGAUGCAUUAGAGAAGAAAAUGGCAACCCACUCCAGUGUUUUUGCCUGGAGAAUCCCAGGGACGCUGGAGCCUGGUGGGCUGCCGCCUAUGGGGUAGCACAGAGUCAGACAUGACUGAAGCGACUUAGCAACAGCAGCAGCAGUAAUUUAAAAAGUGUUCUUCCCAUGGACUGUCUCAGGUUUAUUGUCCACAGGAGUUCAAGGCAUUAUCACCAGAAGGCUGUCAGCUUACCUCGUGGCAGUAGUGAAGUCACUAGGUUCUAAGACCUGGCCCUGAGCCUCCAGAAUGGAUUCCUUCCUUAGAGACUCAUCAGGUUCACAGGAGCUUGAUGCAUAAGCCAAGUGACAUUUUACUAACUGAGAGGUGGACUGGUGCUCACGUGCUGGCAAAAGCUCUGAAUACAUGAGGAAGGAGAGUAGGAGACUGGUGAGAAGGUAAGGUUGGAAGAGGGCAAAAGGAAAGGAGGUGGGGUGGGGGGAUCCAGUGCCCACUGACCCAAUAAACUGUAUCCUGGACUACCU
Molecule: long non-coding RNA, 2187 nt
Organism: Bos taurus (domestic cattle)
Lineage: Eukaryota; Metazoa; Chordata; Mammalia; Artiodactyla; Bovidae
Source: Ensembl